CGCCGCCUGGCCUGGCAGGUGACCGGCUGCGGGCUGGUCUUCGGGACCCUGCUCGGCGUGGUGUUCGCGGCGCUGGCCGGUUCCC
Molecule: transfer RNA, 85 nt
Filed under: Microbispora sp. NBRC 16548
Lineage: Bacteria; Bacillati; Actinomycetota; Actinomycetes; Streptosporangiales; Streptosporangiaceae
Description: tRNA-Arg
Source: RNAcentral